Molecule: small RNA, 1244 nt
Filed under: Pongo abelii (Sumatran orangutan)
Lineage: Eukaryota; Metazoa; Chordata; Mammalia; Primates; Hominidae
Description: retained intron
Source: RNAcentral
GGUUUCCUCUUCCUGAACACGCUCUUCAUCCAGCGCGGGCGGCACGAGACCACGUGGACCAUCCUGCGGCGCUUCGGCUACAGCGAUGCACUGGAGCUGACAGCCGACUAUCUCUUCCCUCCGCUCCACGUGCCCCCCGGCUGCAGCACUGAGCUCAACCACCUUGGCUACCAGUUUGUGCAAAGAGUAUUUGAGAAGCACGACCAGGUGAGAGCAUGGCGACUCCCCUGCCCCUGCCCCCGCCCCCUCCCCGGCACACACAUCACCGCAUCCCUCCUUCUGCAGGACCGAGACGGCGCCCUCUCGCCUGUGGAGCUGCAAAGCCUCUUCAGUGUGUUCCCAGCAGCCCCCUGGGGCCCCGAGCUCCCACGCACAGUCCGCACAGAGGCCGGCCGGUUGCCCCUGCACGGAUACCUCUGCCAGUGGACGUAAGUGCGGCCCACACCAUGCCCGCCCGCCGCACCACCCUUGCCACCGUAACACUGUGCCUCCCGCCCACCCCCAGCCUGGUGACCUACCUGGACGUCCGGAGCUGCCUUGGGCACCUAGGCUACCUGGGCUACCCCACCCUUUGUGAGCAGGACUCCCAGGCCCAUGCCAUCACAGGUAGGUACCCACCCUCUCUGGGCCUGGGCCCAGCAUCCUGGCAGCCGCCCUAACCCGUGUCUAUCCUCACAGUCACCCGUGAGAAGAGGCUGGACCAGGAGAAGGGACAGACGCAGCGGAGCGUCCUCCUGUGCAAGGUGGUGGGGGCCCGUGGAGUGGGCAAGUCUGCCUUCCUGCAGGCCUUCCUCGGCCGCGGCCUGGAGGUAAGCACCCUAGACUCCCCCACCACCCCAGGGGCUCCAGGAGCAGGGCAGGGCAAUCUGGGGGGCACUGGAGCCAGCGAGUGUCAGGACUUCACCUCCCUUAGCACCAGGACACGAGGGAGCAGCCUCCCGGCUAUGCCAUCGACACAGUGCAGGUCAACGGGCAGGAGAAGUACUUGAUCCUCUGUGAGGUGGGCACAGAUGGUCUGCUGGCCACAUCGCUGGACGCCGCCUGUGACGUUGCCUGCUUGAUGUUUGAUGGCAGUGACCCAAAGUCCUUUGCACAUUGUGCCAGCGUCUACAAGCACCAUUACAUGGACGGGCAGACCCCCUGCCUCUUCGUCUCCUCCAAGGCCGACCUGCCCGAAGGUGUCGCGGUGUCUGGCCCAUCGCCAGCCGAGUUUUGCCGCAAGCACCGGCUACCCGCUCCCAUGC